AUGGACGACAACACCAGUACCCUUAAGUCCCUCCUGGAAUCGAUCGUCACGCGCCUCGACGAACAGAAACUUGACAGCGACAAACGGCUCGAGGCCCAGGCCGCCUGCAACACCCAGGUAUCCCAGGAUCUGCGCAACCUCAGCAAACAGACCGACCUUACGCAGGCUGAUGUCGACGAAGCGUGCAAGUCGAUGGAGCAGUCCCCAUCUUCGCACGGAUCCGGCAUGGUUUUCAACCCGCUGCCACUGCGUCCCGCGCCUGCGCCGCAUCACCAAGGCCCACCGCCUUCUCCUCGUCUAGCCGACGAGCUCCCACCCCUACUGGUUCAACCACCCACGCCCGUGCCAGCCGUCACCCAGGCACACAUGGUGGAGAUGGCACCUCAUCCCCAACAACAACCAAACUUCAACCACCAUCCUCGGCAAGCCCGCGACACCUACAUCAAGCCACCGAAACAUGACUUUCCUCGUUUCGAUGGCAGUGCACCUUAUCUCUAG
RNAcentral lists this ribosomal RNA (498 nucleotides) under Triticum aestivum (bread wheat). RNAcentral's name for it is "partial small subunit ribosomal RNA". Lineage: Eukaryota; Viridiplantae; Streptophyta; Magnoliopsida; Poales; Poaceae. The record is from RNAcentral.